GCCUGGCUGGCUCAGUUGGUAGAGCAUGUGACUCUUGAUCUUGAUGUUAUGAGUUCAAGGCCCAUGUUGGGUG
Molecule: transfer RNA, 73 nt
Filed under: Felis catus (domestic cat)
Lineage: Eukaryota; Metazoa; Chordata; Mammalia; Carnivora; Felidae
Also listed under: 4 other names
Rfam family: tRNA
About the family: Transfer RNA (tRNA) molecules are approximately 80 nucleotides in length. Their secondary structure includes four short double-helical elements and three loops (D, anti-codon, and T loops).
Source: Rfam by way of RNAcentral